Molecule: long non-coding RNA, 423 nt
Organism: Dryobates pubescens (Downy woodpecker)
Lineage: Eukaryota; Metazoa; Chordata; Aves; Piciformes; Picidae
Exons: 3
Source: RefSeq, a predicted model, not a curated record
UGACUUGGCAUACAAGAUUUAGCGGUAACCUUGACCUCCAUAAAAACAAAUAGAAGCUGGAGCCUUCCUGCCGCCCAACCCUUGGUGUUAACUCUACCUAUCAGCAUUCUCACUGCUAGAAGAAGCCACAAGCUGUGCAAACCUGUCCUGAACUGCAGAAACUGUCAUCACUGAGCAGAGACUGAGGGGAAAUGGAGUCUGGAACUGACUCUCGAUGCUUGAUGCAUGUUUGGCAGGAGGCCAAAAUGAAUCAAAAUAAACAUCCAGAAGGAAAUGCCAAAUGCAAGAAAAUAACACCAACUUAAUAUGAUUUAAUAACAAUAAAGUGAUUAAGAUCCCAUUUAAAUACUUAAAGAUGUGAAGGAAGCCCUUAGCCAUGUUGCAGUAGACUCUGCUGAGGACAUGGUAAGUACCUGCAGAAUU